AUGCUUUGGCGAUGCAGGAAGGUGUUUGCCAGAAGUUUCUCCAGCCACCUGUAUAGCGGUGAGCUGAAAUCUCCAGGAACGAGUGAUGGAUCGCAGGUGCACCGAAGGAGCUUUGUUCUCCUCGUCAUCAUCAGCUUUCACUUAAAGCUGGGUUCAAUGAAAAUAGAAGGUGUCAUCAUUUAUUCGCCCUUAUUUCUGUUCCAGUCCUGGAUGAUCGUUUUUGUAGAACAAUUUGAAAAACGUUCAAGCUGAAGUAAACAAGUAAUUAAAAAAAAAUAUUAUAUUAUAUUAUAUUAUAUUAUAUUAUAUUAUAUUAUAUAUAAAAUUUAGUGCUGGGCAAUGAUAAAUGUAUUUUUAAUCGUGAUUAAUCGCACGAUUGUCUGUGAUUAAUCGCGAUUAAUCGCAUUAUUCACAGCAUUCAUUAAUGCAUUCAGAAGUAGUGUAUUUUGCACUUUUUUCAUUUAAAAGUACUGCUAUAUAAACAAAAGUGCUAUAACAUUUGGUUUGCAAACACUUUAAACAAAUAAGGUGCUUUUUUUUACAGCAGUAUUCCAUUUUCAUAGUAGCAGUUAAAAUGUUUCUUGUAAAUCUCAACUUGUAACAUUAAUGGAAUCAAAUUAAUGCAAGAUAAAAUAAUUCUCAGCAU
Molecule: long non-coding RNA, 646 nt
Organism: Cyprinus carpio (common carp)
Lineage: Eukaryota; Metazoa; Chordata; Actinopteri; Cypriniformes; Cyprinidae
Source: Ensembl